RNAcentral lists this transfer RNA (74 nucleotides) under Candidatus Blochmanniella floridana. RNAcentral describes it as "tRNA-Ile2 (CAT) (tRNA-Ile2-CAT-1-1)". It matches the Rfam family "tRNA". From Rfam's summary of the family: Transfer RNA (tRNA) molecules are approximately 80 nucleotides in length. Their secondary structure includes four short double-helical elements and three loops (D, anti-codon, and T loops). Lineage: Bacteria; Pseudomonadati; Pseudomonadota; Gammaproteobacteria; Enterobacterales; Enterobacteriaceae. The record is from RNAcentral.
GGCCCUUUAGCUCAGUUGGUUAGAGCAGGCGACUCAUAAUCGCUUGGUCACUGGUUCAAAUCCAGUAAGGGCCA